Molecule: long non-coding RNA, 570 nt
Filed under: Homo sapiens (human)
Lineage: Eukaryota; Metazoa; Chordata; Mammalia; Primates; Hominidae
Description: ATXN7L3 antisense RNA 1 (ATXN7L3-AS1)
Source: RNAcentral
CUCUCCUCAGAGUCACCUCUGCUUUCAGCCAGGAUGUCCACUUGGGGGGGACCAGCCCGGAAGUCUCUCCAAGAGCCCCAAAGUCCAGGAACCCCCACCCAAGGAUUCAGACACAGAACCCACAACCCAGGGCCCCUCGGAACGCCCACUCCAGGCUUGCGGACCAACAAGCGGCCGAGAUGAGGGUCCGCUGCUGAGGUCGGAGGCCGAGCUGCGCCCUUCUGCGCGGAGCGCCCUCCCCGCCCCUCGUCCUAAUUUAGAUCCCACACCUGCUCGCCUUUCCUGCUUCCGGAACCCACGCUGGACCCCCACCCCUCCAGACAGCCUCCUUGUCACUGGCCAGAUCCUUCCCCCGACCCAGUGCUGUUCCCCUGGGUGCAGCGUGUCCCUGUGCUCACGCUCUCAGUCCCUCUUUACCUUAGGAAGGGACAGGCCUUUUCCCAGCCGCGGUGGAUGGCUGGAUUGGCGCUUUCAUCUCGGUUACUCUGUGUGUGGUGUCCUGGAACGGUUGUGUGACAGCCCUCUCCCCUCAAGAGAUAAGAUUAAAAAGGAGGAUAGUCUGUAAUCACA